AACAUGGAGAGUUUGAUCCUGGCUCAGAACUAACGCUGGCGGCGCGUCUUAAACAUGCAAGUCAAACGGAUGUAGCAAUACAUUAGUGGCGAACGGGUGAGUAACACGUAGGUAAUCUACCCUCGAGUUGGGAAUAACCUGGAGAAAUCCAGGCUAAUACCGAAUAGUAUCAUUGUUGCGAGAGCAGUAUUGAUUAAAGGAGCGAUUCGCUCGGGGAUGAGCCUGCGUCUGAUUAGCUAGUUGGCGGGGUAAGA
This 254-nucleotide ribosomal RNA is filed under the name Leptospiraceae bacterium. Its description in RNAcentral is "partial 16S ribosomal RNA". It matches the Rfam family "Bacterial small subunit ribosomal RNA", at positions 1 to 262 of the family's 1533-position model. Lineage: Bacteria; Pseudomonadati; Spirochaetota; Leptospiria; Leptospirales; Leptospiraceae. The record is from RNAcentral.